RNAcentral lists this unclassified non-coding RNA (362 nucleotides) under Hevea brasiliensis (rubber tree). Lineage: Eukaryota; Viridiplantae; Streptophyta; Magnoliopsida; Malpighiales; Euphorbiaceae. The record is from RNAcentral.
GGAACAUAAAUUUGAUAUGAAGCCUCAUAGUGAAAAUCUUGAAAUGUAUGGGAAAUUGUGCCGUGAAAGGACAAACAAAUCCAUGGUUAAGAAUAGACAAAUCCAAGUGAUAGACAAUGACCGUGGAGUGCAUAUGAGGCCUAUGCCUGGCAUGGUUGGUUUGAUCAGUUCAACUUCAAAGGAAAAGAAGAAGGUGGCGCCAGUUAAACAAUCAGACGUGAAAAGAACUAGAAGAGAUCGUGGGGAACUAGAAGAUAUAAUGUUCAAGCUAUUUGAAAGACAGCCGAAUUGGGCCCUAAAGCAGCUAGUCCAAGAGACUGAUCAACCUGCACAAUUCCUGAAAGAGAUACUGAAUGAGCUUU